This 505-nucleotide ribosomal RNA is filed under the name uncultured bacterium. Its description in RNAcentral is "partial 16S ribosomal RNA". It matches the Rfam family "Bacterial small subunit ribosomal RNA", at positions 28 to 507 of the family's 1533-position model. The record is from RNAcentral.
GACGAACGCUGGCGGCGUGCCUAAUACAUGCAAGUAGAACGCACAGUUUAUACCGUAGCUUGCUACACCAUAGACUGUGAGUUGCGAACGGGUGAGUAACGCGUAGGUAACCUGCCUGGUAGCGGGGGAUAACUAUUGGAAACGAUAGCUAAUACCGCAUAAUAUUAAUUAUUGCAUGAUAAUUAAUUGAAAGGUGCAAUUGCACCACUACCAGAUGGACAUGCGUUGUAUUAGCUAGUAGGUGAGGUAACGGCUCACCUAGGCGACGAUACAUAGCCGACCUAAGAAGGUGAUCUGCCACACUGGGACUGAGAAACGGCCCAGACUCCUACAGGAGGCAGCAGUAGGAAAUCUUCGGGAAUGGACGAAAGUCUGACCAAGCAACGCCGCGUGAGUGAAGAAGGUUUUCGGAUCGUAAAGCUCUGUUGUAAGAGAAGAACGGGUGUGGGAGUGGAAAGUUCACGCUGUGACGGUAUCUUACCAGAAAGCAACGGCUAACUACGUG